Molecule: ribosomal RNA, 253 nt
Filed under: uncultured bacterium
Lineage: Bacteria
Description: partial 16S ribosomal RNA
Rfam family: Bacterial small subunit ribosomal RNA
Source: RNAcentral
UACGUAGGGUCCGAGCGUUGCUCGGAAUCACUGGGCGUAAAGCGCACGUAGGCGGACUCUUAAGUCGGUGGUGAAAUCCUGGAGCUCAACUCCAGAACUGCCUUCGAUACUGAGAGUCUCGAGUCCGAGAGAGGUGAGUGGAACUGCGAGUGUAGAGGUGAAAUUCGUAGAUAUUCGCAAGAACACCAGUGGCGAAGGCGGCUCACUGGCUCGGUACUGACGCUGAGGUGCGAAAGCGUGGGGAGCAAACAGG